This is a long non-coding RNA of Syzygium oleosum, 892 nucleotides long. RefSeq lists it as uncharacterized. The transcript has 2 exons. NCBI's taxonomy places the organism in Eukaryota, Viridiplantae, Streptophyta, Magnoliopsida, Myrtales, Myrtaceae. The record is from RefSeq and is a predicted model, not a curated record.
AACAAAAUACCAAUAUUCUCUCCCUCUGCUUUGACGCUCACCAUUCAAGGCUUAUUUAUAAGAGUUAUAGCUUAAAUCUAAUUGAUCCUUCAAGUGCGUUUGUGCCAACAUACUGUGCACAACACCAAAUUCGACCUACUCAUUCAUGAUGUCCUUUCGUUCCUCGAAGUGUUCAUUGGCCACUGCCGUUCAGAAUGAUGUUUCAAAGACAUGAUUUUUGUUUUCCUCCCUCCUUCAAAGAACUCGCAAAAGCAACCCUCAAGUGAGGUGGCCACCAGUACUACCAGUACCCUGCCCUUGAAAUCCAUUAGGACCCUUCCCAUAUGUUCCACCAGGAUCACCGGACCUCUCCUUCCUUGCUUGAUAUGGAUCCCUUCCACCGGUGGCAUAAUCCAUAUUGCUCAUUGGCAUGGGAUCUCUUCUUUCACCUUGCCUCUGGGACCAUAACUUUGCUGAGGAGGAUAAAUUUGCAGAGCAUCCCACUGCAUAUGUCCCUGGUAACCAAUAUUGAGGGCUUCCUUAUCGAUUCGGCACAUGACCUCUUGCCGGUCUUAUCUAGGUUGGUCAUAGUUUCUAUUGCAUUCUACCUCCCGGCCUCCCAUACUUGAACUGGAGGUGGUAAAUGAGUAAUCAUUCAUUUUCAUACUUGUCACCGAAUGAUUUAGUAAGUUCAACAAAACAACAAGCGUUGCAGGGUCAUAAAUCAUAGGCAAGUUGAGCUUUUGGAUUUAGAGGAUGAAUGGAUUAAAUGACUGAAAAAUUGUGGCUGAGAUGUAUAGUAGACGCAUUUCUGUGGAGUCAAAUCAUACCUCCGUGCUCCUUGCUUUGGGAAUCAAUGUAGAAAUAAGGUAAUAUAAAAGCAACUCCAGGUAGAUCUGUUUAUAGCUCAAAA